Molecule: ribosomal RNA, 664 nt
Filed under: Microbacterium sp. SUCR140
Lineage: Bacteria; Bacillati; Actinomycetota; Actinomycetes; Micrococcales; Microbacteriaceae
Description: bacterial SSU rRNA
Rfam family: Bacterial small subunit ribosomal RNA
Source: RNAcentral
UUCGGUUGAAACCUCUUUUACAGGGAAGAAGCGAAAGUGACGGUACCUGCAGAAAAAGCGCCGGCUAACUACGUGCCAGCAGCCGCGGUAAUACGUAGGGCGCAAGCGUUAUCCGGAAUUAUUGGGCGUAAAGAGCUCGUAGGCGGUUUGUCGCGUCUGCUGUGAAAUCCCGAGGCUCAACCUCGGGCCUGCAGUGGGUACGGGCAGACUAGAGUGCGGUAGGGGAGAUUGGAAUUCCUGGUGUAGCGGUGGAAUGCGCAGAUAUCAGGAGGAACACCGAUGGCGAAGGCAGAUCUCUGGGCCGUAACUGACGCUGAGGAGCGAAAGGGUGGGGAGCAAACAGGCUUAGAUACCCUGGUAGUCCACCCCGUAAACGUUGGGAACUAGUUGUGGGGUCCAUUCCACGGAUUCCGUGACGCAGCUAACGCAUUAAGUUCCCCGCCUGGGGAGUACGGCCGCAAGGCUAAAACUCAAAGGAAUUGACGGGGACCCGCACAAGCGGCGGAGCAUGCGGAUUAAUUCGAUGCAACGCGAAGAACCCUUACCAAGGCUUGACAUAUACGAGAACGGGCCAGAAUGGUCAACUCUUUGGACACUCGUAAACAGGUGGUGCAUGGUUGUCGUCAGCUCGUGUCGUGAGAUGUUGGGUUAGUCCCGCACGAGC